This is a non-coding RNA of Odocoileus virginianus texanus, 857 nucleotides long. Lineage: Eukaryota; Metazoa; Chordata; Mammalia; Artiodactyla; Cervidae. The record is from RefSeq and is a predicted model, not a curated record.
GGGCGAUGGGCUCUCCAACCUAGUACCAUGGCCCAGUUUGUCCGUAACCUCGCGGAGAAGGCCCCGGCGCUGGUCAACGCUGCUGUGACUUACUCGAAGCCUCGAUUGGCCACGUUUUGGUACUAUGCCAAGGUUGAGCUGGUUCCUCCAACCCCUGCUGAGAUCCCUACAGCAAUUCAGAGCUUGAAAAAAAUUAUCAACAGUGCUAAAACCGGUAGCUUCAAACAGCUCACUGUUAAGGAAGCUCUACUGAAUGGUUUGGUGGCCACUGAGGUGUGGAUGUGGUUUUAUGUUGGCAAGAUCAUAGGCAAGCGUGGCAUCAUUGGCUAUGAUGUUUGAAGACCAAUUUUUAACAUGUGAUUAUAUCUGCUUUAUUAUUCAAGUGUUCUUGGACCAUGUGUGAACAGACUGCUCUUUGAAUAAAAUAAGACAAUGUGUCAGAAUCAGUGUUUUCUCUAUCAAACACUACAUGGAAGGUCACAAUUUCUCUUGAUAUUAAGUUGGAUUGUCUUUUGCUUCAAUAUAUUAAUACAGCUCUAAAUGCAUGCCUUUGCUUAGCCUGCAAUUUGGAAAAUAUAUAUAUGAGUAUACCAACCUGGUACCUGUAUAAAUGAGGUUAACUUUAUUUUGAAGGCUUGAAACAAAUGAUGUUUAAGCUUUAUUUCUAGAAAAGCUGGGGGAAAGGCUUUGAGAAAAUGAGAACUUGCUCCAGUAGGAGAAAUAAUAAUACCAUGUGCUAAGUAUGAUACAGUUAAAUCACGUAGCAUUAAGAAUACAAUUUGGACUGUUUUUCUUCGCAAAAAUCAGAGAAAGAUCCCUUUGACAACACCUUUUUGUCAGUUUGAAUAUAGCCUCCC